Molecule: regulatory RNA element, 87 nt
Organism: Paenibacillus sp. FSL H7-0737
Lineage: Bacteria; Bacillati; Bacillota; Bacilli; Caryophanales; Paenibacillaceae
Rfam family: c-di-GMP-I riboswitch aptamer
About the family: GEMM was predicted in a large-scale screen for bacterial structured RNA regulatory elements. Genes associated with GEMM are involved in a diverse array of functions, including chemotaxis regulation, signal transduction, secretion and chitin.
Source: Rfam
AAACUUCAUAGGCAAACCUAUGGAAAUGUAGGGACGCAAAGCUAUAGGGACUAAGGUUAUCAUAACUAUUGUCAGCCAGCUGCCAAA